Bos taurus (domestic cattle) is the source of this 713-nucleotide long non-coding RNA. NCBI's taxonomy places the organism in Eukaryota, Metazoa, Chordata, Mammalia, Artiodactyla, Bovidae. The record is from Ensembl.
GUCCCAGAUCGGCAGCUAAUUUGCUGCCCUUUUUCCUUUUUUUUUUUUUUGCCCUGUGAUCUUUGGAGGAAGCAAAGUAGGAUGUGUGUGUGUGUGUGUGUGUGUGUGUUUGGGACCCUGUGAUUUUUUUUUUUUUUUUUCCUCUCAUUUAUUUUUGGCUGUGCUGGGUCUUCAUUGCUGCAGAUGGGCUUUUUCUAGUUGCAGCAAACGGGCUAGUCUCUAUGACUCAUUAGUUGUUGGCACAUGCGCUUAGUUGCUCCGAAACAUGUGGAAAUCUUCCCAGACCAGAGAUUUAACUCAUGCCCCCUGCGGUGCCAGGUGCUGGACCACCAGGGAAGUCCUGGGACCCUGUGAUCUUUGAAGGAGGUGAAGUAGGAGCAUGUGUGUGUGUGUGUGAAGGAGGCAGAGUAGGGUGUGUGUGUCUCUGUGAGUAGGGUUAGGGUGUGUGUGUGUGUGUGUGUGUGUGUGUGUGAAGGAGGCAGAGUAGGGUGCGUGUCUCUGUGAUCUUUGAAGGGGUCAAAGUAGGGCGUGUGGGUGUGUGUUGGGGAAACACUUGCCCAGGAGUAUUUGGGACCCGUCCCAAGUUGGCCAAUCUUCAGCGAUGUUGAGCUUCGCUUUAUCACCUCCCCUCAGUCAAAUGAAAUUUAGCAAGAUCAUGCCCAUUAUCCGUUCAGGCAGCAGUUUGCCUAAGGAAGCCAUGCAACCUAGCAGCA